GUGGGGAAUUUUGGACAAUGGGCGCAAGCCUGAUCCAGCAAUGCCGCGUGUGUGAAGAAGGCCUUCGGGUUGUAAAGCACUUUUGUCCGGAAAGAAAUGGCCUGGGUUAAUACCCCGGGUCGAUGACGGUACCGGAAGAAUAAGCACCGGCUAACUACGUGCCAGCAGCCGCGGUAAUACGUAGGGUGCGAGCGUUAAUCGGAAUUACUGGGCGUAAAGCGUGCGCAGGCGGCGAUGCAAGACAGAUGUGAAAUCCCCGGGCUCAACCUGGGGACUGCAUUUGUGACUGCAUGGCUAGAGUGCGUCAGAGGGGGGUGGAAUUCCGCGUGUAGCAGUGAAAUGCGUAGAGAUGCGGAGGAACACCGAUGGCGAAGGCAGCCCCCUGGGAUGACACUGACGCUCAUGCACGAAAGCGUGGGGAGCAAACAGGAUUAGAUACCCGAGUAGUCC
This 450-nucleotide ribosomal RNA is filed under the name uncultured bacterium. RNAcentral describes it as "partial 16S ribosomal RNA". It matches the Rfam family "Bacterial small subunit ribosomal RNA", at positions 354 to 796 of the family's 1533-position model. The record is from RNAcentral.